Molecule: RNA transcript, 3370 nt
Organism: Lycium ferocissimum
Lineage: Eukaryota; Viridiplantae; Streptophyta; Magnoliopsida; Solanales; Solanaceae
Gene name: protein FAR1-RELATED SEQUENCE 5-like
Exons: 4
Source: RefSeq, a predicted model, not a curated record
UCCAAGAUAGUGGACUCAUUCAGCUUGUCAGUGGACCUUUAAUCUGCUGACAUCUGGACACUUACAGAUCUAAGGGUCAUUAAUUAUUUAACCAAAAAAACCUCUUAAACCAUGGUUAAACGCAGAUAAAAGAAGAAUCCUAAAAUCCCGCUUCAAAAUUUUCGGAGCUGGUUGCAAGAUAUCCGAAAAAAUUGCUGUAGGAAUUUCCUUCUUGUUGGAAAAAAGAUUUUCUUACCAUGGAAAUUAUAUGCUCAAGAGAGGGACGAUGUAAGACUCAAAGAAACAAGAGAAAAUUAAAUCAUUUGCAUGGCACAACAACAAAAGAUCCGAAAGAAAAAGAAAAUCAGUUUAUGAACAAUUCUUUUUCUUGAGAAGAAGUGACGACACAAAUACAGAUUUUUGGAGAUUGGAUCUAGUCAGUCUCAAAGUGGAUGUAAUGUGCUCAUAAAACUCGAGAUGGAAUUUGAUUCGGAUGAGCAUGCAUAUGAAUAUUACAAUAAAUACGCUGGUGUAAUUGGUUUUAGCGUAAGGAGAGAAUAUGCUAACAAAAAUAAAGUCCGAGGGUACGUGACUUCAAGAAAAUUGGUAUGUUAUAAAGAAGGUUAUAGAGAUAAACACAAACGAGAUACGAUGGUUCAAAAACAUAGAAAUGAAACUAGGACGGGGUGCUUAGCUCAUUUUACUAUUAGUCGUCAAUCAAAUGGAAUGUUUCGCAUCACUUCAUUUGAAGAGAAACAUAAUCAUCCUCUUGUUCCUUCUUCUUUGGCUCACAUGUUACCCUCACAAAGAAAGAUAAAAGUUGCUCAAGCAUAUGAAAUUGACUUAUUAGAUGAUUCAGGAAUAUGUCCUAAAGCUUCAUUUGAUUAUGCUGCUCGUCAAGUUGGAGGACAAUCUUUUCUAGGUUACACAAGGAGAGAUCAGAAGAAUUAUCUUCGGGAUAAAAGAAAAGAUAGUUUGAAACGUGGGGUGGCUCGUAGUUUGGUUGAUUAUUUUGAGAAACGAAUACUAGAAGAUCCUGCUUUUCGGUAUUCUUUAGAUCUAGAUGACGAUGGUUUGAUAACUAAUGUAUUAUGGGCUGAUGGAAAGAUGAUAAGAGAUUUUAAGAUUUAUAGAGAUAUUGUGUCCUUUGAUACAACAUAUAGAACAAAUAAAGAGUAUCGACCCUUGGCGUUGUUUGUUGGUUUAAAUAACCAUAGGGAAAUGGUUAUAUUUGGUGCAGCCCUUCUAUACGAAGAGUCAACUGAAUCAUUUGUAUGGCUUUUUAAUGCAUUCUUUAAGAUUAUGUUUGCGGAUAAACCACAAACAUUUUUCACUGAUCAAGAUCCCGCUAUAUCUGCUGCUAUAUCAUUAGUAAUGCCCAAAACAUAUCAUCGCCUUUGUGUAUGGCACUUGGAAAAGAAUGCAUUUAAACAUCUUAAUCAUAUCUUUAGAGCUAAUGAAUCAUUUCCAAGAUAUUUUAGCAAAUUGCUUUAUGAUUAUGAGUAUGAGGAGGAUUUUUUAAGUGCAUGGCAGGAAAUGCUUGAGAAAUAUGACCUUGAGGAUAAUAGUUGGUUGAAAAACACGUUUGCUGUAAGAGAGAAAUGGUCCAUGACAUACGGAAGACAUACAUUCUCAGCAGGUAUGCGAAGUACACAAUUAAGUGAGAGUUUUAAUGGAUCUUUAAGGGGAUAUUUAAAAUCUGAUUUGGAUAUUGUUCAAUUUUUUAAGCAUUUUCAAAGAUCAGUUGAUGAUAAGCGUGCCAAUGAGAAUAAGUCAAAUUUUGACAUGACUCAAAGAAUACCUAUUUUAAAGGUUAAACUUCCUUUAUUGAUUCAUGCUAGGGAAGUAUACACCCCAACUAUAUUUGAUAUGUUCCAAAAUGAAUGGGAAAGAUCACUACUGGUUUCCAUAAAGGACUCUUAUAGUGAAGGAGAAUUAUGUACCUAUAAUGUUAGCACUCUUGGAAGUGUUAAGGAGCAUGCUGUAACUGUUAAGCAAUUAGUAACUCAAGUUUCUUGCAGCUGCAAAUUGUUUGAAUUUUUGGGUAUACUAUGUAGACAUGCUUUAAAGAUUCUGGAUUUACUAAAUGUGAAGGAUAUGAUUCCGGUACAUUAUAUAUUAAAGCGGUGGACAAAAGAUGCUUCUAACAUGAACGAGGUAGAUAUCGAUCUAGUAGAAAAAGAUAGUGAUCCAAAAGUUGAAGUUACUGCAAGGUACAAACAUUUAUGCCAUACUUUUGUUCAAAUUUCAAGUGAAGCUUCAGAAUCCACAUAAGGGUAUGAAUUGGCCGCAAAAGGUGCGAAUGAGAUAAUUGCCAAGUUAAAGGAUAUCAAGAAGAGAAAUGAAUCGCCUGAAAAGUUGGCUCCAAGCAAGAGUAUUCAGAACGAACCGAGUGAACUAAUAUUUAUUGACAAUACAAAUGUCACAAAGGUGACCGGGUUAAAAAGAAAGGAACCAACUCGUCGCUCUAAUACUCGGCCAAAGAGUUUUACGGAAAAGUCCAAGAAGAAAGGUAGGACUUCGUUGCCAAAAUCUCUUCAAUGCCAAACUAAGCAGCAGUUAGAUCACCUUCCCUGUCUUCAAGUCCCAUGUACACCUUUAUCAGAUACAUCAAAUGAUAUGGGUGUGACAGAAGGAAGUUUUCCUCCAUGGUGCCCUCCACAGUUGUCUCAAGGGUCAUCUAAUGGAAGUUUGACUCGACUCUUAAGAGAUGUUUCAUUUCAUGAUUUAAACAAGUAUUCUCAACAUUGAUUGUGGCAAAUUCGUGAACGCAGAGGUUACAUGGUGAUCCUGUCCGGCAUAGUAGCUUGUUUCCGUUCAUAGGUUUUUUACUAGUGUGCAAUUGACAUUCGCCAAUGUGAAUUGAGCCUUUUUUUUUUUUUUCAUGUCAAGGUUGUAACCCACCUGUGGAUGUUGGAAUUUGUUUGUCCCUUAUAGAAGUAUGUUUUGAGUUUCCUCUUCUCAAUUCCAAUUUCCGUUAACAUUAUAUCGAAGAUCUGAACAAUCUUCAACUUUGGAACUACAAUAAAGUAAUGUUUUUGAUGCUUAUUUGGUUGUGCAACUGCAUUGAAUCAUUUGUUGCAUGAUAUUUACCCUGUUUUUUGGUAGCAAGAGAAAAGGCCAUUGCCAAUGUAAUCAAGACAAAUAUAUUUGGAAAGAGAAAGGUGCUUCGUGUGCUUGGAUUUCAUCAGCAAGACUAGUUUGGGAUUUUUAUUUCAUGGGAAUUCUGACUGCAAAUACAGUUGAAAUGAAACAAGGUGAUAGAAUUCUAGAUUUUUGUUUUCAUGCUUCAGUAACACCUUUCAAGAUGUUUAACCAAGGAAGAUUAUGUUAAGACAUAAGUAGAUGGUACAGGACAACUAAAGUUGUUUUUGAAAUUCGAUGGUAGAAA